GGAACCAGAGCUCAGAGCGCUGGGAAUGCUUCCCUGCCCCAUGGAGCAUCCCUGUUAUGCCUGAGUGCUGCAGGGGGAAGCAGGCAAUGCCAUCCCCAUCCCCUGUGCCCCGUCGGUGUGGUGGUGUUCCCUCGCAGGGAAGAGAGGAUGCUGCUCUGCCAAAGGUCCCCUUGGAUGCUCCAGGUGAUGCCCCAAUUCACUUUCGCUUGCUUCUGCGGGCUGCAUGGCUUCUGCAAGAUGAAGAGGAAGAAGGAGGAGCCCAGUGCAGAGCAGGAGACGGCGGUGUGAGCAGCUGGGACAGGAGUGGGACAUCGGAGCUGCUGGGGGACAUUGGCUGUCCCCUCUCCUGUCGCCUCUAUAGGGAUCCCUGUGCUGCAGAGACAUUUGCCUGGCCAGGAGGGAGCUGAAACAUGGGAGUGCCCAAACUGGGAGGCACCAGCCAGCAUUGCAGACAUUAUUGGGGUGCUGCAGCCAUCCUGCCACAUGCACCGAGCCCUCUGCACCCCAACAGCUGCAGUCAGAGGAGGAUUCCCCACUGCCCUGCCCUCACCCCAGCACUGCUCUGCAGACAAACCCUAAAAGGGUUUCCGAAAUCCGGAGCCAGCCCAUGUCCUGCAUGGAUUAAUAGUGCUUGGGGGUGGGCUGCCUCAGGGUGGUAAGUGCUCUCACGGCUGCAGAAUUGGCUGAACGUACAAGCAAGCUCUAUUUUUAAUGUAUUUAAUUAUUAUUUAUUAAGUUUUUCUCAAGCAAAUGUCUGGGACUGCAAGAAGCCAAUCUUCACCUCUCAGCCAUGCCUGGCUCUGUAGCUGCAGCACAGCAGAGCCUGAUGGGGACACCAAGCACACCACCAGGCUCGUGCAGGGGACACAGUGGUGGUGGCAUUCAUUCCUGUGCCACUGAGCAAUGCAGUCCAACAGGAGCCGGUUCAUGGUUGGCACAAAGGCCAACAGCCUCCAGGUGGUGUCACUGGGGGCUCUCUGCAGGGACAUUUCUGGCACAACCUUGUCCUCCAGAGCAGAAAUCCUUAAGUUCUUCCACCCGCUGUUUCCCUUCUCUAUAUGCAGAACCCAAUCACAGGAGGAUGAAAGCGAUGCUCACGGGUGCCAGGCAGGAGAUGCACACCCCUAGGGCUGCUCCUGCUCCCACUGCCUUCGUCUGGCACUGUGUGGCUGUUCCUGAGGUCCCCUGGAUCCCCAUUUCCCCUCCACCCUCUCUGUGCAUCCUUCCUACCUACGGUUAAAGCCAUACAGGAGCUCCCCACAUUCUGUGCCUUUCAGGGACUGUCCUACAGAUGUUCUCCAGCAGCCGACCCCUGGUGAGGGUCCCCACAGAUCUGGGGACAUUGCUGAGGUCUCGGUGUCACGAUGCUGGGCUCCAGCCUGCAUCCUUGGCCCCAUUUAUACCCAAAAUUCAAGAUCUCAUUUCAGACACUGGAGCCUCGGUGCUGCCAUGGCCAAGAAUUGAGAAAAGCAGGAGGGACAGCUCGUGGGGAAGGGCAAAUAACUGGGGGACACGUCUCUGGAGCAGGGGGCAUGGACUGCAGCAGCCUGACACCCCCUGGGAGCUCCCACAGAAGGGGCUGAGCAAACUUAGAGAGCAAUUCCCCCCCCCUGCCUUGUUAAGCAGCUCGACUUUCCCAGGGCUCUCAGAGCACAUUUGCACAUGACAAACAGAGCUGUAGCCACCAGUGACAGCUGCCCUAUGGAGAUCUGUUGGCUCAGCCAACACCCAGAACCAACACAGCCAGUAUUUUAUUUUCUCAUCUGAAGGAUUUAGGACAAAAAGCAGCCAGAAGUGCCAAGAACAGAAGGUGCAGCUGAGGAGCUCUAAAUCCUCUCCGCUGCUGUGUGCCUGUGGGCUGUGGUGGGAAGCAGUGGAUGGAUGCUGGCUGUGGGAUGGCAGCAAUGCCUGGUCCCUGUGCACCUACCCCAGGGUUGGGGGCACUCAGAGGGCAGUUUGCUUCUCCCCUCUCUGAGCUCAGGUGAUGUGAACUGAGUGAUUCCUUGCUGGGCUCCGGGUGUUGGCCAGGUGUCCCUGCCUUCAUCACUGUGGAGCUCAGCAGAUUUCAGCCUGGCAAGCACAGAUCAGUGGGAAAUGCUGUGGUUAAUGCAGGCUGUAAUGUGUCCUCUGGGAGCUCUGAGGCUGCAGCAGCCUUUUACUUUGCAGUGCACACAGAGGCUCCCAGGGAAGCUGAAGACACCAAGGUUAAUGCUGAUGCAACCACCUUUGGGUUCAGCUGUUGGUGCCCCACUCCUGGGGGCACACAGUUGGUUCCCCCUAGUGAAGAUGUGGGGUGAUGACCCCUCUCAGGGCUCUUUUGGCAGCAGGGUGAGAUUCAGGGAGAUGAUGGGCAGCUUUUGCUCAGUCGGGUUUCACAGAGGCUAAAAUAUUGCUGUGGGUUGCGGGAGAGGUUCGUGACCUCAAAACCCUCACUGCUAAACCUCUUAGACUGCAGAUCCAUCACAGUUUGGCAGCAGAGGAUGUGCAGCUAACAGCUGCUCCGAAGCUCUGUGUCAAGCUGGAUGCACAGAGAGCAUCCCUGCAAAGGAUUCUGUGCAUGGAGGGAGUGCUCUGAGGGCUCCUGGGUGUUAAGAGAUGAGCUGGGAACUCUGCUGCAGGCUCUGCACUCAUGCUAUGCACUCACUGUGCAUGCUCUCCAUGGCACAUGCAUGCUGCACACACUGCACAUGGUGCAUGCCCAGCACACACUGCUCUGUGCACACACUAUGCACACACUGCUCGUGCCAUGCACGCCUGCAUGGUGCACACCACCACGUUGCACACUGGCUGUGUGCAGCAGCUCUGUGCUUGCUCAGGAGCACACCGUGGUUGCACACUGGCAGCUCUGUGCCUGCUUGGACUGUCCCUGUGUCUCUAGUGCUCCCAUCUCCAGUGAAUGAAUGUAGGAUUUGAAAGCAAGACAGGCAGAUGCUCACCUACACCCAUUACAUGUGCAUGUGAAAACACAAUAAAUUAAGCAGGUGCAGCCUGAAUGCUCAGGAGCCCGAGCUACAGUUAUUUUUAAAGUGAACUUCCCACCUCCCUGCACGGAUGGAGCUCUCAGAGCAACAAUAUGUUUUCCACCGUGGCUCCGAGCAAAAUGGUUUGCUCCUGGAUUGACCUCUAUUGUGCUCAUAAACGGCUCGUGGUGCUUUUUGAUUCCCCCAUCAUCAUGCCUUGACCUCCAGAUUUAUGGUGAAGGUCCUUUCAGCUGUGUAUUGUUUCCCACCAGGCUCAGCCUGCCUCUUUCUGUUGCCAACCUGCCAGGAUGCUGCACUCUUCCUGCUGCCGCCUGAUGAUCCUGCAGCAGUCAAAGUAAAGUUGUGAGGCUUUUUUUUUUUCUCCUUUAUUUUAUUUUACUUUAUUUUAUUUAUUUUUUCCAUUGGCAGCAUUUUAACAAGGCUGGGAUGCUUCUGAGACUGCGAGGGCUGGGAGCUGACAGCUCUCUUCAGAAGAGAAACGCUCUCCCUGCCUCUCUUUCUCUCUCCCCCACAUUUGCACAAAAAACCCCAGGCGUUUUUGUAAGCUGGGAUUUUGCUUCUUGUUCAGGAUUUCCUCUUGCUCUCCCGAGCGACAGACACACACACACACACCGCCUUUGGCUCAUCCACACUGCUUUUGCUUCUCCCCUCCAGAAGUGGCUGCACCGCAGCAGCUACAUCCUACCCACAUUGCAGGCAGUGCACACUCCUGUUGUCCCUCCAGUGAUACCCAAACACUUUUCCAAGACUUUCCCACCCUCAGGGUGCCCGAAGCUGAGGCUGCUGAACCACCCAUGAGUUGGCUGCUGGGUGCUGAGCAGCUCCCAGUCGUGCAAAGGGUACAAAGUGCAAGAUGCAAAUCAUGCUUUCCAUUGCACGUUGGCUCUGUGCGCACUGCAUGACAUCUAUGCUGUGGCUUUCCAGGUUUGGGGUUUUUUUUUUUUGCCUUUUCUUUUUACAGUUGCUCCUUAAGAAGAGGAACGCAGCACUCCUGAAAAAUGCAUUUCUUCCCACCAGCAAUAAUCCUCCUUUAAUCCUAUUUACACCAGGGAAAACAUCCAAGCGGGGGUGGGUGCAGAAGGAGGGUCCCCAUUGCACUCAGACUUUGGGGAUGGAUGGACCAUAGCUCAGCCCCUUCCAGCAAACCCAA
This is a long non-coding RNA of Lagopus leucura (white-tailed ptarmigan), 4131 nucleotides long. RefSeq lists it as uncharacterized. The transcript has 3 exons. NCBI's taxonomy places the organism in Eukaryota, Metazoa, Chordata, Aves, Galliformes, Phasianidae. The record is from RefSeq and is a predicted model, not a curated record.